Molecule: ribosomal RNA, 420 nt
Filed under: bacterium
Lineage: Bacteria
Description: partial 16S ribosomal RNA
Rfam family: Bacterial small subunit ribosomal RNA
Source: RNAcentral
UGGGGGAUAUUGCACAAUGGGCGAAAGCCUGAUGCAGCGACGCCGCGUGGGGGAUGAAGGCUUUCGGGUUGUAAACCUCUUUCGCUAUCGAACAAGGCCCGCUUAGGGUGGGUUGAGGGUAGGUGGAGAAGAAGCGCCGGCUAACUACGUGCCAGCAGCCGCGGUAAUACGUAGGGCGCGAGCGUUGUCCGGCAUUAUUGGGCGUAAAGGGCUUGUAGGCGGCUUGUUGCGCCGGCUGUGAAAACGCGGGGCUUAACUUCGCGCGUGCAGUGGGUACGGGCAGGCUUGAGUGUGGUAGGGGUGACUGGAAUUCCAGGUGUAGCGGUGGAAUGCGCAGAUAUCUGGAGGAACACCGAUGGCGAAGGCAGGUCACUGGGCCAUUACUGACGCUGAGGAGCGAAAGCAUGGGUAGCGAACAGG